UACGUAGGGUCCGAGCGUUGUCCGGAAUUAUUGGGCGUAAAGAGCUCGUAGGCGGUCUGUCGCGUCGGCUGUGAAAACACGGGGCUCAACUCCGUGCCUGCAGUCGAUACGGGCAGACUAGAGUUCGGUAGGGGAGACUGGAAUUCCUGGUGUAGCGGUGAAAUGCGCAGAUAUCAGGAAGAACACCUAUGGCGAAGGCAGCUCUCUGGGACGGUACUGACGCUGAGACGCGAAAGCGUGGGGAGCGAACAGG
This 253-nucleotide ribosomal RNA is filed under the name uncultured bacterium. RNAcentral's name for it is "partial 16S ribosomal RNA". It matches the Rfam family "Bacterial small subunit ribosomal RNA", at positions 524 to 776 of the family's 1533-position model. The record is from RNAcentral.